RNAcentral lists this ribosomal RNA (612 nucleotides) under Triticum aestivum (bread wheat). Its description in RNAcentral is "partial small subunit ribosomal RNA". Lineage: Eukaryota; Viridiplantae; Streptophyta; Magnoliopsida; Poales; Poaceae. The record is from RNAcentral.
AUGAUCUGUUGUAAGGGUACUAAUUGGUCUCUUCUGCUGCUUAUCAGAGAUGGGGGGAAGCAGCCACCGCCGCUCUGCGACACCGGAGUACGAGUUGGAUGCUUCCGAGUUCUUCAGUAUCAUACUUGGGACUUCAGUAUCAGCCAUGACGUAGGUGAAGAUCUGCCAAAUAAUGUGAAGCUGCGACAGGCCGGUAGCGGGUUUCGCAGGCAGUGGGAUGUGGAGUUGUUGAUCAAGGAGGGCCACAUGUACUUGUCUCGUGGGUGGGAGAAGUUCUACCGUGCCUACGACCUGCGGCUGGGGUACUUCCUUCUCUUCAGGUACGACGACGACGCCACCAUGCUCAUCAUGAAGGUGUUCAACGCGACUAUGUGUCGCAUGCGCUACACUGACGAUGAUGAUGCCGGUAAUGGGAGCAGCAGCAGCGACACUGGCUACAGCGAAAGCAGCAACGACUAUGGCUAUAGUAAAAGCAACACCGAUUCUGGCUUUAGUGAAAGCAGCAGCAAUUCUGGCAGCAGCAUAGACAACAAGAAGGAUGAUCCGGACAGGAGUGCGGGAGAAGAGGAGCAGAGUGGGGAUGAGGAGCUGCAGGAUGACGGUGGGCAUUAG